This 429-nucleotide ribosomal RNA is filed under the name Chloroflexota bacterium. Its description in RNAcentral is "Chloroflexi bacterium partial 16S ribosomal RNA". It matches the Rfam family "Bacterial small subunit ribosomal RNA", at positions 355 to 776 of the family's 1533-position model. Lineage: Bacteria; Bacillati; Chloroflexota. The record is from RNAcentral.
UAGGGAAUCUUCGGCAAUGGACGAAAGUCUGACCGAGCAACGCCGCGUGAGUGAAGAAGGUUUUCGGAUCGUAAAACUCUGUUGUUAGAGAAGAACAAGGACGUUAGUAACUGAACGUCCCCUGACGGUAUCUAACCAGAAAGGCACGGCUAACUACGUGCCAGCAGCCGCGGUAAUACGGAGGGUGCAAGCGUUAAUCGGAAGUACUGGUCGUAAAGCGCACGCAGGCGGUUGAUUGAGUCAGAUGUGAAAUCCCCGGGCUUAACCCGGGAAUUGCAUCUGUUACUGGUCAGCUAUAGUCUUUUAGCGGGGGGUAGAAUUCCAUGUGUAUCGGUGAACUGCGUAGAGAUGUGGAGGACUACCGUUGGCGAAGUCGGCCCCCUGGACAAAGUCUGACGCUCAGGUGCGAAAGCGUGGGGAGCAAACAGG